Molecule: long non-coding RNA, 1572 nt
Organism: Bos taurus (domestic cattle)
Lineage: Eukaryota; Metazoa; Chordata; Mammalia; Artiodactyla; Bovidae
Source: Ensembl
AAAGAAAGGGUGAAUGAAAUUUUUAAAUGAGCUAAAAUUGGUAAGGAACUAUUGCCAUAGAUGACAUUCUGCUUUUCCAAGUAAAUGUAAGUAUUACAUUUUGUCUUUUUGUUUCUUUACCUAGGAAAUAGAAAUUAUACCCAGAGGAGCAAAGAUCUGUGAGCACAAGAGACCACAGGCAAAAAUGAGAGUAGAAAGCAUGCCAGUCGGUUUCCAUGAAAAGAAAGUGAAAGUGAAGUCGCUCAGUCGUGUCCGACUCUUUGCGACCCCAUGGACUGUAGCCCACCAGUCUCCUCCAUCCAUGGAAUUUUCCAGGCAAGAGUACUGGAGUGGGUUGCCAUUUCCUUCUCCAGAAGAUCUUUCUGACUGAGGGAUCGAACCUGGGUCUCCCAAAUUGCAGCAGACGCUUUACCAUCUGAGCCACCAGGGAAGCCCUAUGGUUUCCAUAUAAUGGAUCAAAUUCAAGAAGACUACCUGGUGGGUUAAUUCAGCCUCUUAUCUCCUAGAGAAUGAAAUGUCUGCAUGAGUCCAUCAAUUUUCCUGAGAUACAAAACGUGGAGGUUGAGUUAAAUUGUAAAAUGGAGUUAACUGUCUUAUAUUAGUUUGCUAGGACUGUUGGAACAAAAUACCACAGACGGAGUGGCUUAAACAGAAACUUACUUUCUCAUAGUUCUGGAGGCUAGAAAUUUGAGAUCAAGGUGUCAGCAGGCUUGGUUCCUUCUCAGAGUCAUGAGGGAGGAAUCUGUCCUAGGCAACUUUAUUCGACUUAAAGCUAUCUUGCUCUGUUUUUAUAUUGUCUUCCUUCUGCAUACAUCUAUGUCCCAAUUUGAGGGAGUCUCAUGGGCUCAGAGGUUAUAGCAUCUGUCUGUAAUGCGGGAGACCUGGGUUCGAUCCCUGGAUCGGGAAGAUCCCCUGGAGAUCUUCCCAGGGGAUCCUAGAGGCCACCCACUGUAGUACUCUUGCCUGGAAAAUCCCAUGGAUGGAGAAGCCUGGUGGGCUACAGUCCCAAUUUACUUUCCUUAUAAGGACAUCGGUCAUAUUGGAUUAGAGUCUACCCAUAUGACCUCAGCUUAUUUAAAUUAUCUCUUUAAAGAUGCCAUAUCCAAUUAUAGUUUCAUUCUGAGAUACUGUGGGUUAAGACUUCAUAAGAGGAAUUUGGGGAAGACAUAAAUCAGCUCAAUGCCUCCAUGACACAGAAAUAAUGAAGGGAGAGAGCAGAGACAGCAAGUUGCAGGAAAAGACGUGACUGUGGACAUUCUGACAAAAUGAAACAACCUUGAUUUGCCUACCACCUUAUCUUUGCCUGUUGAUACCCUCUCUUCCAAUUUCUCAGAGAUGAGCAAAGAAUGGGUCUAUUCUCCAUGAAGAGCUUUACAGUCAGGAUAUGUCACUGGCCAGAGUCUUCUGUUAAUAAGAAAAUUGAUUUGAUAAAUUGAAUUCAUUAAACAUGUGUGUGAUUCAAGAUAUUACUAAAGUAUCACAUUAUAAUUUACAUUUAAAAAUAGGGUUAUAGGGGAGGCCAGUGCUUAAUUUGAAGACAUUAUCUGAGUACUAGGCAUGAAUUUAAAUGUG